Molecule: ribosomal RNA, 428 nt
Filed under: uncultured bacterium
Lineage: Bacteria
Description: bacterial SSU rRNA
Rfam family: Bacterial small subunit ribosomal RNA
Source: RNAcentral
AGAGUUUGAUCCUGGCUCAGGACGAACGCUGGCGGCGUGCUUAACACAUGCAAGUCGAACGGAAAGGCCCUUUCGGGGGUGCUCGAGUGGCGAACGGGUGAGUAACACGUGGGUGAUCUGCCCUGCACUUCGGGAUAAGCUUGGGAAACUGGGUCUAAUACCGGAUAGGACUACAAGGCGCAUGUUUUGUGGUGGAAAGCUUUUUGCGGUGUGGGAUGGGCCCGCGGCCUAUCAGCUUGUUGGUGGGGUGAUGGCCUACCAAGGCGACGACGGGUAGCCGGCCUGAGAGGGUGUCCGGCCACACUGGGACUGAGAUACGGCCCAGACUCCUACGGGAGGCAGCAGUGGGGAAUAUUGCACAAUGGGCGCAAGCCUGAUGCAGCGACGCCGCGUGGGGGAUGACGGCCUUCGGGUUGUAAACCUCUUUC